UUCAUUGCACAGGAAGAUAAUGGUGAAACAGAAGUUAGCAAGAUGAAAAGGCCAGGAUUUGUGAAAUGCAAAAGUUGAAGAAGCAGAAGAUUCAGGAAAUAUCGGAUCAGCAAAAUGCUGCUAUGGACACUGAUAUGGUGCCUUUCCAUUCUAAAAAUGACUAUUUCUUGCAUUAUUUCGAGUUCAUGUAUUGAUUAUGCCAGUAACAUUUUCUUGUUUUUGAAAUAAUUUUUCAAGAAUGAUAAGGGAAAAGGGCGGUUGAAGUAUCCUCUGCAGCAAACUGAGAUUUUUGCUCAUUUUGCCAGAGGAAACCAGUCUGCUUCACAGAAAAUCAAAGGAAGGUACCUUUACAUUGUGCAUUGCAGAUAUGAUCUCGGGUACAUAUGUUCCUUUUGACAACCUGCUGAACAAUGUCUACAUAGGUCCUAACUUUCCUCAUACUUCAUAGUUGCUUAAUUGGGACUGAAAGCUUUGUUUGAUCCUUGAAGGGCCGUUUGCUAUAUAUUAAUAAUUGCCUAAUGCUGGAAUUCUUUAGAGGAAAGGUGCCUAUGGUCCAGUGGUCUAACCCUUGCCGGACUUCCAGUUACAUUUGGUGUUAAGGUUCCAUAUUUAAAGGGAAUUGGGAUUUGGUAACAUUUAUGCAAACUAACAAUGUUCAAUUGUAACCUUAUAUUGAUUGUUCUCUCCCAGUGGACAAAUAAACAUCUGCUCAUGCUUAAAAGUGAAGAAAACAUGUUUGUGAAGUUCAAGUCAUCAUUUCCCAGACCAUUUCUGUGUACAGCAUUCAUGUUUGUUCAGUGACAUUUUGUCUCUGCUUAACGUGUAGGGGUUGUCAUGAAUCUAAAAUAACUGAAGAGGAAGAGGAUGAAUAAUGUCUUAAGGAGGAAGAAGAUGGCUUGUCUGGUACGGGAAACCCACGGCUGGUGACACAACGCUCUUGUAAUCUCUCUCUUUCUCUCUCUCUCUCUCUCUCUCUCUGGUUUGAUUAGAAGAAGGAUAGUCUUUGCUGCUCGUAUCUCUGCUGUACCCCUGCUUUGACUUGGAGAAGCUGUAACGUUUGCUGCAAUUUCAGAACGCUAAAUAAUGUGGGAUUGUAAAUGUUCUUGGUGUCGACAUGAUUCCUUAUCACUAACAGUUAUAAUACUCCAAGUUCUUACGUUGGUGUUGACUAAGUAGAGAUUUUUGACAUCCCUUCCCGGCCCUUGUCUAGGUGGGAACCUCUUGCACUGGGGACAACCUUUAUUGUAUUGUCGUCUGGCUCCAGAGAGAUUCUGUUUAGCUCUGAUUAAUGCAAUUGUCUUGCCAACAGGAUAUCUCCAGCAAAUAUAAGUUAACUGCUUUCUUAAGUUCUAUUUGUAUGCUUUUUUGCAGGUACACAAGGAAGAUGAGGGAUUACUAGCUUGCUGGAUUGAAUUGGCUCAUAAGAUUGUAUAAGAAUGGCAUUAACGGAAUACUUGCACAGAUGAAAUGGUAGGUCACGAGCUGCAGCAUUUAGACCUGUGCAGUAUGGAAGCUGGAAAGGCUAGAAGAUGCAGAGCUUAGAGAAAAUUUGCUAAUAGAAAUUCCAAUGAUAUCUUGGAGAUAUUCAUCUUGUAAGAUCUUGAAAUUGACAUGCGCUGAGAUAACCAAUUAUCGAGGCUCCCAGAAGGUCUUGUAUGUCUACAAUGUUCAUACCGAGUUGAUGAUGGCUUUUCUGAUCUCUCCAACUUGAACAGCUUGAGAGAUUCGUCCUGGGAAAGCCAAUAACUCUCCUCCCCCAGUUGACUAGGUUAAAUAGACUGGAGUCUUUAAAGUUGUCCUCUUCGAUAAUGACCACCUUAUCACUAGAUAUUCCGCAACUUUCUCAUCUCUACAGAGUUGAACUCUGUCGGGAAUGUCUGUAGUGCCUCUCGAGGCUUCCCUCAAGUUUACCGUCCAUAUGUAUUAGACAUUUCCUAUCAGUGCGUACAUUAAUAGACCUAUCAACCUAGAAGAAACUGUAAGAACUUCUAAUUGAGUAUUGUGCAAUUACAGGGAUUCAAAGCCUUGAAAGUCUGGAGAAUCUAAAAAUUUUAGAGCUGAACGAGCUCCACUUACUGGACAAAUUGGCCGAGUGAGUGGCUUGAAGAAACUAACGGCUUUUCAUUCACAUCAUCUAGUGAUCUGGUUGACCGGAAUCACUGGACAAUUUGUCUAUCUUCUCCAGCAACUUUAUCCUGAAGUUUCUAAUGUGUCAAAGUGGAAGAAAUUAAAAUGAAUAGGCAUCCACCCCGGAGAUUUGAAAACUCGGCACAUUAUAGAGUUGCUUGAUCAAAUUUGGCAAAUUUCUGCAAAAGAAAAAAGAAUGGACACUUGCUCCGUUGAGUUUUUUUUCGGAUAAGAGGUGCUUCCCAUUCUGUUGUGCAUAUGUGUAACAAAGAGGUUUAUGUAAAUCUUCUUUUUAAGUUCACUUUGCAUGUUGACUGGUGAUAGUUCUGCAAGUACCCUUGUUCAGAUUUUCUUUGAUUUAAUUUGGUUUGGUUUAGAUGUUUUAAUGGCUUUGAAUUGCCAAUCAACUUACCUAAUGAGGUCAAGUCAAACUAUAUGAACUCUAAGUGCAUUAUUUUGUCAAUUUACUAUGUGAUGAUUUAUUUGAGGAACCUUAUAAAUUGCUACUUCAUCUUACUGAAUUUGAAACUGGUCAAUGCCCAUACUUCAUGUAGGAGAACUUUAAAGUAGCUGUUACAAUGUGUAUGAAAGCAUCUCAACACUUGUGGCAUCACCUCUAUGGAAAUAACCAACACAAAAUUGCAACAUGAAGAAGAAUAAUAAUUUACAUAGGUAAGCACAUGUUCAGUUUGGUUUUUGCAUAAAGCACAUUUCUUAAUUGGAUUCGCACAAGAUGAAGAGAAGUGGAAACGAUUCUGAAAUAAAUAAAGAAAUGUUCCAAUUCCAACUUGGUCUGACAUUAUUUAAUGUUUAGGUAAAUUUGAAAUAAUGACCCAAUCAUUAAAUUUCUAAUGAAUAGAAGUGUGGCAAAACUUUUUCUAAGUCUAAAAAUUUAACAUGAAAUAAUCUCGCGCCAUCUACAAGUUCUUAUCUUUUUGCCUCUUUUUUAUAUUGUUUGUAACAGAUAAUUCACAAGAAUUAACUGAGAUAAUGAAGAGCCACCACUUAAAAAACACUAUUUGAAAUAGAGAACUUUCACACUUGAGAUCAAGAUGAGUCAAUAUAUAUUCUUUUAAUCUUUAUAGUCAUUGAGAGGCUUCACAAAACUUUGCCAGUCACUAAAGAGGCAUUCAAGUUUGAUUGGGAAUUUGGAUAUGAUCAUUGAGUUGGGUUCCAAAUGAGAUUUAAUAGGUCACAUCAGAUUUGUGAGUGGACUUGUUAGUGGCCCAAAUUUCUAAUACAAGACCCAUGAAUAAUUUUUGCCAUCUACAUUGACACAAGACUGUGCAUACACAUCAGUUUUGUGUACUCUAUUUUAAUAAUAUUUUGUAUAAUAAUCAGCGCAAAACAUGGAUUUAUUGGGGUUAAAUGUGAAGGUUGCUUCACCUUGGAAUAAAUGUGAUUUUUAUAAUUCAAUUAAUUGCUAGGGGAGUGUCUUGGAUGAAGAUAAAGCCCGAUAAUUCCACCAAGCUUCAUGUUUUUAUGUCAAUUCGGGCCUGGGCCAUCUUAACCCAUUAAAUUGGAUCGAUUAGAGUUUGCCUUGAUUAGGAUUUGGUUUUUUUUUUUUUUUUUUGUGGGGGGGGGACAACAAACUUGUUUGGAAUUUUCAUGUCUACUUUUGUUGACUUUGACUUUGAAUGAAUCCGCCCAUUUAUUUGGGGGCAAAAGUGGAUUCUCAUCCCCAAAAUUUCUGCACCACAUAGUAAGUGAUUUUCCCGGUCAAAGAAACGUUAAUAAUUGUCAACUUUGAUAGGUUGGAGUGAUGCUUUGAGGAAGCUUAUUUAUUAAUUGAUUUGACAACAAAACUGGCCCACAACUCUCUUAGUAUAUUCAGCCAAUCCUAUGGCCCACAAUCCUGCGGUAUAAGAACAAGGGCUUUGGUAGUUAAGACCCUCAUGUAUAUGAAAAAUCUUUCUUUUCCUUCAAAAAGAGUAGGAGUUAGGCAGUUGAAUCUCACCUAUUUUAUCUUCUUUCUGAAGCUUUCGAGCUAUAAUGAAGGAAGCUCAAUUUUGAUUCAAAUGGAAGGAGUCUGAUUUCAAAAAAAAUUGCAAUGAGACUUUUGGAGUUUCAUUUUACUAAAAUAGAUGUCUAAGGGAGUAUAAUCAAAGCUAAAAUUAUCUAAACACAAAUUCGAUCUUUCAUUGAUCUCAAUUCAAGGAUUUUGAUACUUCCGAGGAAUUUUUUUUUACUCAUGACAUGAUUAAUAACUUUAAUAUUAUUCUACCAAAAAAUAAAAAAAUAACUUUAAUCUUAUUUUAUUUUGUCAUGCUCAAAUCUAUGUCUAAAAAAAUUUGAGAACUUAUUAAUUCCGAAAUGAGAAUUAUUUACACAUAGCAAGAUAUUAUCUUUCCUUCUUGGCUCCACCAUCACGUGCUUCCUCCAUGUUCUCCUUAUCAAAAUAUCAAUUAGUUCGUUUAGUCAACAUUUUUAUCCUAUCGAGAUCUGAAGGUCUUGCUGGUGUUGGCGCAUUCACACUUCUCAUGCACUGGCCUGCAACUUUGAGGAAGUCAGGUCAUCAAUUUUGAGGGGCAUGGGGUUGGGUUAGGGUUUUGGAAGAUAAGGGAUUUGGAGACGAGGAAGAAAUGUGCAGUUUUAAGCUUAUCAUUGAUCAAGCAAACCGCCACGUUGGAUUUUCAAUAUUUGCCUUUCAGCAAACUUUGAUGGAAUGUAUUUUUUUGGUUCCAUAGAAGUUUCGGAUUUUGAUGACAUGAAAAAUAAUUUGGAUAAUUGGCAUUGCAAUGAAUAUAAAGGUUAUGAAUUUUUAGAGAAUCAGCGUUUGCUAUCAUUCGCCAAUUGCUGCCAUCGAAUUUGCCGCCCCCCAUUGGCAUCAUAAGCCCUCAAUUUCAUGCUUUAAUCCAUUGGCAAGUUAACGUCUCACUCGCUCUAGACUAUCUUCUAUGCCUUCAUCUCUUUUUUCUUUCCACGCAUAGCUCAUAACCUAUGUCCAUAGAAUUCACAACUGACGGAGUUCGCUAGUCUCGCACGGCCACUGAUUUGGGUUGCAUGGCCGUGGGUGUUGGGGCUCUACUUAGUGAGUUUACUCGAUUUUCUAAGCAACAGAGAUAAUCCUCACCCGAUUAUCAUUAAAAUCAAUACCCAAAAAGAAAAAGAUAAAUAAAUUCCUCAUCAUGAGGGCAUAUGGGUUUUUUGGCAGCACACAAAAAGACAAAUGCACCUGAUAUUGUGUGCAGUGAAAAGGAGGAAAAAGAGGGUUGUGAUUAUGGAUGGAUGGAGCGGGUGCUGUCAGCUGUCGGUCGUCACAUGGGGUGCUUUCAGUUUUUGUUGACUUGACUCUGAAUGAAUCAUUUGGCGGCAAAAAUUGAUUCUCAAUCCGAAAUUUCUAUAUCAUAUGAUUAAGUGAUUUUCCGCGUUAAGAAAAACAAAUAAUUUACUUUGGCCUGCAGUGAUGCUACGAGGAAGUAUCCUUACUGACCAACUUUACAGCAAAACUAGCCCACAACUCUUCGCAUAUUCAUCAAAACCUUUGGCUUCCGAGUUCAGCGACCUCUCGUAAAGUCAUUUGAAAAAAAUCUUCCCUUUUAAUAUUUCUAUAGCAAAGAAACAAAGGUCUUGAUAUUUAAGACCCGUCUCUUUACGAAAAAUCUUUCUUUUCCUUUCAAAAGGAGAGGAGUUUAGGCGAUGGAUCCCACCUAUGUUCUCUUCUUCCCUAAGCUUUUGAGCCAAUGGAGGAAACUAAUUUGGAUGGAAGGAGUCUGUUUUUAAAAGAAUCUGCAACAAGACUUUUGGAGUUUCGUUUUUACUAAAACAAAAGUUCAGUGGAGUAUAAUCAAAGCUAAAGUUAUUGGAAAACUAAUUUGAUACUUCCAAGAGUCUUUUUUAACUCAUUGAGUCAUUGUGAUUAAUAACUUUAAUGUUUAUUUUUUCGGUCACAUUAGGAUUUAUGUCUAAAGACUUAAGAGCUUAAGAACUUUGGAAUGGAAUAAUUUUACACCUCUAAAUCUAGCGAGAUUUUAUUUUUUUAUUGUGAAACAUGCAAUGUUUAGUCACCACAAAAUCAAUUUAGAAAAUAGAAAGAUACUUGCAAAUAAACACCAGCCAAUCAUGUCAUGAAAAUCAAUCCAUAAAAAGUUAGAGCCGUCUAAUUUAACUAAAUGGAAAUGAAAAUGGAAUGUGCCCUAUACAUAUAGUUUUGCAUUGCAUCAAAAUACAAUCACUAAAUUAAGAAUUGUAUGAGAUCGGCCGAUAUGAUUUUGAUAAGGAUAGCAACAAUCUAAAACCUCAGCUCCAUGUGCCUUGUGUUAAUGCGGUGUUAGCAUUAGCUACAACUCUCCGAAAGAGAGAAAAAUCAGACAGAACAGCGUGUGGGGCGGUGCAAGAAGAGGGAAACCAAUGAUUGACCCAACAGUCCAUGGUGGACCAGCUUGCUCAAGAAGGAAUCGCGCCAAUGAUUGACCCAAGUCUACGAAGACUUGAACUACCAAAGGCACGCGCCAAAGCACUGGCGGGACUCCUUUUCCACGUUAGGAUGACCCCAUCUUCUUUUUUCUUUGCUAUAUUGCUCUAUUUCUUUUCAUUAUUCACUUUGCUUUUUAACAAGAAUUUCCCUCAGAUUCUUCGAGGUAGUUUUGCCGUGAAUUAUUGAGAUCCCCAGUGGGUUUAUUGCUAUGAGAAUUUUGUCAAAUAACAUGUAUCCAACGUUUCACAUAACAGAUGGCAUUUUAAUUGCAAUUGCGAGCAAUAUGUGGGUUUUUUUUUUUUAAUGUUGUAAAAAAUAUGUGCACUUUGUACUCAAUAAGCACGAGCUCUUCAUCAUUUGAAGUUUAACCAAUAAAUCUAGGUUAUUUGCAAGUAAUUUAAAUAAGUAUACUAAAAUCGAUACAUUAAGUGAAUAAAUAGAUUUGUGGAAAAAGAUACUACUCUUAACCAAAAAAGAAAAGAAAAAAAUAGAUACUACUCAAAUUGGAAUUCAAUACUUGCCAAGAGUGUUUUUCGACUCAUCGAGUCAUCGUGAUUAAUAACUUCAAUCUUAAAUGUUAUUUUUGGUCACACUCAUUUAUAAAUUUCGGAAUGAAACAUCUUUACACCUCUGGAUCUAGCGAGAUUUUAUUUUCUAUUGUGACACAUGAAAUGUUUAAUUACCACAAAAUUGAUUUAGAAAAUUAAACAAUACUUGCAAACAAACACCAUUUGUUCAGAAAUACUUUGAUCUUUAAAUACUCUAACCAAUCAUAUCAUCAAUCAAUAUAAAAGUUGAUACUGUCUAAUUUAAUUAAAUGGAAAUUAUUAAAGUGCUGCAUACAUGUGAUUUUUGCAUCACAUUGGAAUACAAUCAUUAGAUUAUGAAUUGCAUGGGAUUGGUCAAUGUGAUCUUGACACGGAAGUCUAAGACCUAAGCUCCUUGUGCCUCAACAUGGCAGUAACAUUAGCUACCUUUCUCAAAAAAAAAGAGAAAAAAAAAAAAAAGAACAGCGUAUGGUUGGUGCAAGAAGGCUGAAACAUCAUAGGAUCAGAGGGACAAAGUCAAAAGUCUACAAAGACUUGGACCACCAAUAGUCCAUGACGAACCAGCUUUGCUCUGAGAAGGAAUCACACCCAUGAUUCAUUCAUUUGGUGACUUUGUCCCUCACAGUCAUACUUCAAUAAACGUAGGGAUUUUAUCAAAAAGAAGGAAAAAUAUGUCACUAGAUCACUUUGUAAAAUCCAACAGUGACUCAUCAUUCUCCCAUGCACCCGUAAAAUUUACAUGGUAACAAAUCGAUCUCCAAUUCUCAUAUUCAUCGCACCAUUUCCUCAGGUCAUAUACCGUCACAAGAAAAUUGAAAAAAAAAAAAACUUUUAGGGUGUCUUAAUCUCGCUGAGAAUUUUUUUGUUGCGGGAAAAUGCUAUUAGGAAAUUAAAUUUUAGAUAAAGGGAAUCGGAAGAAUUUAAUUACAGUGAAAACAUGUUAAAAAAAAAAACUGAUUUUAUCGUAAUUGGUAAUAAGCGAAUCCACUAAAUAUGGCUUGUAUCAUUAAAAGUAACAUGGAAUGACUAAUAAACUAGAAUUGAUAUUUUCUUCAUUUAUUCUAUAUUCCAUCAAAAUAACAACAAUUACAAAGAAAUUAAGAUUGAAAUUAUGAAAUCAUAUUUACAUAGAUAUGAUCGUGCUUUAGGAGAAAAAUUGAGCAUUAAUAGAGUAUAUUAACUUUGAAGGGUAGCAAGAAAAUAAGGGUAACGAUUCUUUCUAGCCAAGUCGUUUUUCUCUAAGCUUAUUGUUUUCAGGGUUAAUAUCACGAAAAAUCCCAAACUGGUGCACUCAUGCUAAAUUUAUUCUAAACUAAUUUUUUUACCAUAAAAAACCAAAACUAACUUAUUUGUGACAAAUUUAAUUUUCAUUCAUUUCUGUUAAAUUGGAUUGAUACUAUGAAACAAUACAAAUCAGUACACAUGUGACAUAUAACUGAUAAAACCCCAUAUUGAUAAACCCAUCAAUUACCAAAAUUUAAUGUCUACUUUUGUUCACUUUUACUUUGAAUGAAUCGGCAAUCUAUUCGGGAGGCAAAAGUAGAUUGUAAUCCCAAAAUUUCUACACAGUCCAAUGAUUUUCUGCAUUAAGAAACAUGAAUAAUUGUCAACUUUGGGAGGCUGAGCAAUGCUUCAAGGAAUCGACCUUAUUGACCAAAUUUUGCAGCAGAAUUGGCCCACGACUCUCUUUGCAUAUUCAAUGACCCACCCAAAAGUCAUUCAAAAAUAUUUUUCCUUUUUAGUUCCUUAAUAUUUAUGCGGUGAAGGAACAAAGGUAUUUGAUAGUUAAGGCCCACAUAUGAUUUGAGAAGUCUCUCUUUUCCUUUAAAAAGAGUAUGAGUUAGGCAAUGGAUCCCCCCAUUUUCUCUUCUUCCUUGAGCUUUCGAGCUGAUGGAGGAAGCACAAUUUCGAUUUGAACGGAAGGAGUCUGAUUUGAAAAAAUCUGCAAUAAGAUAUUUAGACUUUCAUUUAACUAAAACAAAAUUUUAGGGGAUAUAAUCAAAGCUAAAAUUAUCGGAGAACAAAUUUGAUCUUUCGUUAGUCUCAUUUGAGGAAUUUGAUACUUUUUUAGAGUUUUUUUUUUAACUAAUUGAGUCAUCAUGAUUAAUAACUUUAAUCUUGAAAUUUCUUUUUGUCAAGUUGGAAUGUAUGUCUGAAAAGACUUAAAAGCUUAUUAAUUUCAUAAUAGAAUAAUUUUACACCGUCAAAUCUAGCGAGAUUUUAUUUGUCCUCAUUGGCUCCUCCCCACCAUUUGUCAUUAUCAAAUAUCAAUAGCCUCAAAUCAAUCAACAUGUGUACCAAUCGAAAUCCAAAAAUCUUGCCAGUGUUGGUGCACAUGGAUCACUCAUGCAAUUGCGAGGAACUUUGAGGAGGUCUUUUAGAAUGACCAUGGCAACGAGGUUUUUAGGGUUUUGGACAGGUGUGAGUAGAGUAGUGAUAGAUAUAGUCUUUUGAUAUAAGAACGUGCUUACAGCUGCAAACUGUAAGGGUGCAUUUGUUUGUAUUUCUGUUCAAAAAUUGUUCCAGAGAACAAAAAUAUAAAAAACUAUUUCUAUUCCCCGGAACAAUUUUUGACCAGAAAGACGUAUUUAGUAAACUUGUUCCGAGAAUAAAAAAUGAAUAGAAACACUUUUGGUAAAUUUGUAUUCUUUUUAUGUUUCUUUUAAUUUUUUAAUAUUUUUAUUUUAUUUUUCCUUUAUUUUUUAUUUUUUUUUAAUUUUUUUCUUCUUUUAGCCGGUCAUCGGCCAUGCUGAGGCCGGCGACCGGCCGAUGGGGGCUAGUAGCCUUGCCUAGCUACGGCGAGGCCGAGCCUUACCCUGGCUGGGCAAGCUUCGCCUUGCCAGAUCUAGGCGAGCCCGAGCUCGCCUAGCCAAGGCAAGGCCGAGCGUCGCCGGCGCGGGUGAGGCUUGGCCUCGCCUAGAUUUGACAAGGCCGAGCUCGCCCAGCCACCGGCGAGGCACAACCUCGUCGAGCCACCACCAGGCGACAUCGAGCCUCGCCGAUGGCGCCAAGGCGAGGCCAAGUCUCGCCGGGGGCCGGCAAUGCUCCGGCGAGGUUGCCGGCCCUUGACGACUGGUCGCCGACCAUGGCCGAGGCCGACGAUUGGCCAAAGAAAAAAGAAGAAGAAAAAGAAAAGAAAAGAAAAGAAAUGAGAGAGAAUUUGUUUUUCAAAAGUGUUUCUGGAACAAAAAAAUAACUUUUUUUUUGUUUAUUAUUUCUGUUCCAAUUUUGUUACGGGAGCAAAAAAACAGAUUUUGAACAAAAAUGCAAAUAAACGCGUUUCUGUUCUUUUUUUGUUCUCGGGAACAAAAAAACAGAAUGUUUAUUCAUAAAUAGAAAAAAAGAACACAACCAUGCACGCCCUAAUGUUUUGAUUUGCUGUUCUUUUGGGAUUUGUUUGCUCGGAAGUUUUCUAUCUUCUUCUCAUAUUUGAUUACGACAAAUAAAACAAAAAAUUCUUUCUACCAAAAAAAGAAAAAUCCCAAUAUGGAGAAUUCACCUGAUCUAUCGGUGCACGAGUUGGGUUUACAUGUGUCAGUGCACAGACAAUACCCGCUCCAUCAAUAGAGAGGGAGGGAGAGAGAGAGGGAGAGCGCUAUAUAAUAUGCUCAGGCAAAGACGCUAGUGUGAAGUAACCCGCAGAGGCAGGACGAGUUAAAAUUCAAUAAUACAAAAAGAACGAGAGAGAAAGAGUUUCUUUUAAUAUUUUGUUUUAGUCACCGGAAGAAAUUCAAUUGCUCCCCCAUCUCUCUAGAAAAUCCAAGGUUUUCUACUAGAGCCUUGGCUUCCGCCGGAGCUGCUGCUGAAGUUGCGCGCGUGGACAUCGCAAACCCGUCCGCCGAAACACCACCACAGUCUUGGCACGCGCGGCGAAUCGCUCCCUCCGUCGAGCCCCUGGCGAAGGACCCGUCGAUAUUUCACCUCGAUAGCUCCUUGCCAUAAUCGGAGCCAGAUCUGAGGUGAGUCUCCAAGGGCCCCACUUUUUGGUGUUUAAAAAGAACCCUGGCAUUUUGGCAACUUUGAUUGGCCGCAAUGAAUCAUUUUUAGUACAGAGAUCUCAUGGCUUGGAAGGAUUUACCGUAUCUGGCUGCCGCUGCUGUUGCUGCUAUCUGGUUUCGACUUUUUUCUCGAGGAGGAGAUCAAGCGAGAUCGAUGGAGAGGAAUGCAAAGAGACGGCAAGGAGAGCAAGUGACAUCAAUGGAGCGGGGUGCAAAGAGACGGCGCACGGGUGGAAAUGAUGGAACAGCGAGAGGCGCUUCUUCUACUCACGCUUCAACAGAAGGUCAAGAAGUGGCUACUUCAUCGGGAUAUGACUAUGAAGUAUUCUUGAGCUUCAGAGGACCAGAUACUCGAGUAGGUUUUAUUGACUUCCUUUACACUAGUAUGAUAGAUAUGGGAAUCCGUGCAUACAAGGAUGAUGAAGAUCUCCCAAAGGGAGAAGAGUUUGGCCCAAAACUUCUCCAAGCAAUUGAGCAGUCAAAGAUUUUAAUGCCUAUCUUUUCGAAUGGUUAUGCCUCCAGUGUAUGGUGUCUCAAAGAGUUAGUCAAGAUGGUUGAGUGCCAAAAAACAAAGGGACAAAAGAUCAUGCCCAUUUUCUAUGAUGUGGCACCUUUAGAGGUUCAACAUCAAACCGGGAAUUAUGGAGAGGCCUUUCGAUCACAUGAAAGAAAGAGGCGACAUGAUGAAAAGACUGUGCAAGAGUGGAAAGAUGCUCUCACUGUAGUCGGGCAAAUAAACGGAUGGAACUUGCAAAGCAUGCCCAACAGGUGACUUAUUUUAGCAUUCCAUCUCAUGUGUCUUGGAUCAUUAAAACUCGUUGCAUUUCAUAUGGUUUCUUUUCUGGAUUUGUGUUAGCCUUGUUGAAAUCGAAUUCUGUGUUAUUGAAGUUAUAAUGCAAAAAUCAAAAUUUUCCCAUUUUAUUCCAAGCAACAUUUUUUCCAGUUCACUUCAUUUAAGUACCAACGCUAAUUCAUCUACAAUGGAAUAAAUCCUUGAAGUAACACAUUUCGAAUUCGAUUUGAUCUUCUCAGAAUUAGUUUAAUGUUUACACAAUUUUCUCACUCAUUGUCUUUUGUCUCCAUCUAACUCUAGGCGAGAAGGUGAGUUCAUAAGAAAAGUUACCCAGAAGGUUUUCACUGAGUUGAAAAAGGCUUAUCUGGCAGUAUCAGAGUGCUUGGUCAGAGUCGACAACCACGUGAUUGCAAUCAUGGAAAUGAUAGGUGCUGGGACAAGUGAAACACGAAUUAUAGGAAUCCACGGGAUGGGUGGCAUCGGAAAGACAACUACUGCCAAAAUGAUCUACAAUAAGCUUUUAGACAACUUUGACAAUUGUUGCUUUCUUCAAGAUAUUCGAGAAACAUCAAAAGGUAAUGGCAUUCAAUGCUCACAGAAUCAGCUCAUCUCUGUCAUCCUCAAAAGGAAAUGCGUGGAUAUAAAAGACAUUCAUGAAGGAACUCAGAUGAUUAAAGAGAGGUUGUUUAAUAAAAAAGUCCUCCUUCUUUUUGAUGAUGUGGAAGAAGCGAAUCAUAUUAAUGCACUUGUGGGUAAACGUGAUUGGUUAGGCAGAGGGAGCAAAAUUAUUAUUACUACAAGAAACAAAGAUAUUCUUGAGGUUCCUGAAGUGGACUGCAGUUAUGAGCUUAGUUGCAUGGAUCACGAUCAAUCUCUUCAACUAUUUAGCAAACAUGCCUUCAGAAAAGAAAAUCCUUUGGAUGAGUAUAUCAACCAAUCCAAGAGGGCAAUACGUAUUGCUAGAGGUCUUCCACUAGCUCUUGAGGUCAUAGGCUCACUUUUAUGUCACACUAAAAAGGAAAAGUGGGAUCUCACAUUGAAGAAGUUGGAAAAUGUUCCUCAUGUAGCAGUUCAGAGUAAGUUGAAAAUAAGCUAUGAUGCAUUAGAUGUUCGACAACGGCAUAUAUUCCUCGAUAUAGCUUGUCUUUUCAUUGGAUAUAACAAAGAUAUUGUGGUUCAUUUUUGGCAUGAAUCUAAAUUUCCAGAAGAAGCCAUGGAAGUUCUGCAGAACAUGUCUUUGAUAAAGAUUGAACAGUUUAAUAAAGUAUGGAUGCAUGAUCAACUCAGAGAUCUUGGAAGAGAAAUAGUUUAUCAAGAAAGUAAAAUGAAAAUAGAGAAGCAAAGUAGGGUGUGGGAUCCCAAGGAAGCAUUGGAUUUGCUGAGGAGACCCGAGGUAAAAUCCCCCAUGCAAUAAAUCUCCAAGAUACUUAUGGAAUAUCUUCUUUUUUUAAAAUGCAGUUGCUUUUUGUGUUCUCUAGCACCAUUGUGACCCACUCAAUUAAUAUUUUUGCUCUUUUAACAUUAGAUGAAUGGUAAUAUGCAACCCCUUAAAAUUGUGAUCUUGAAGCGUUUCCCUUCAACUAUUUUAUUCUUAAAUUUUUCCUUUGGGCAGGGAAAAGAAGGAGUUGAAGCUCUUCAUCUCAAGUUUGACCACAAGAGGUGGUUCCAUUUUACCUAUAAGAGCUUUAAGAGCUUUUCAAAUCUAAGGUUUCUUCAAGUUGAUAAUUCGGAGGAAUAUUCUUAUGCAAAAACGAGGCCUUGUUGGAAUGAAUCGCCUAAUGUUUUCCCGGAGGAUUCAAAUCUCCUUCCACAAUUACGAUGGCUUUCUUGGCAUUAUAUUCCCCCAUCAUUUAAAAUUUCAAAUUUCUCUAUGGAGGAUGUGGUUAUUCUUGAUCUGUCUUGGAGUAACAUUACACACGAGUGGCAAGGGUGGAGCCACAUGAAGGUAUCUUUUAUGAUAGGAAAAACUCAUUAUUUCGUCUUAUCAUAUUUGAAAGUAAUCUUUGCAUGAUUUUUCUUUUCACAGGUGAUGAGGAAUUUGAAAGUUCUAAAUCUGUACUGUUGUGCUAGAUUGGAGAGAACUCCUAACUUCUCUGCUCAAUCAAAUUUAGAACACUUGAUCCUAAGCGAGUGUUGGGAUUUAGACGAAAUUGACAAGUCAAUUUGUCAAUUGAAACGCUUAGUUUCCUUAAGAGUAGAUAAAUGUUGGAAACUUCGAAGGCUACCACAAGCGGUGGGUAGAGAUCUUGCAACUCAGCAACAUUGCAAUUCGUCGGACAGGCUUUCGGAUACAAUCGGAAAUUUGGAAUCGCUGAUUGAGUUGGAUAUAUCUCGUACGGAGAUCGAAGAACUACCCGAUUCUAUCGGAAAGUGGAAAAAUUUGAAAGUAGUGAAGAUUGGCAGUGCCAUACACAAAAUACCCGAUGCCCUCUGGAUGAUUAAGAGCCUUGAAGAAAUAGAAGUCGAAGUUAAGCCUGAUUUUGAUGUGGAAAUUGGCGAUUGCAUCUUCGAAGAUCGAUGCUUGAGGAGCUUGCGCUUGACGUGGGCUAGAAUAAACAAAGUACCGAGACUUCCUGAAAGUCUCGAGAUUCUAACGUUGACUAAAAUAUAUAUGGAUACAUUUCCAGAUCUGUCAAACCUCGUUAAUUUAAAGGAUUUGACGCUGGUGUUUGGCCCACGUAAUGAUGGUGGGGAAUCUGGUGGGCCUGUGGAAGCAUAUCCAAUGCCGCGGUGGAUUGAGAAUUUAAGCAAACUGCAGUACCUCGUCCUGUGCUCCGAUUACGUGACCACCUUACCCACAGAUCUCAGUAGUAUCCUUCCUCGACUCAAGUCACUUUCACUCAAGGGUGAUCAUUUGCGUUGCCCCCCGAGCCUUCCCUCCAGUUUAUCAGGGUUCACCUUGAGAUCUGAAUACGUGACCACCUUACCAAAAGAUAUUAUAAGUCUCCUCCCCCAACUCCGGAAUCUUUCACUCUCGUGCCCUAAUCUGCAUUGCCUCCCGAGCCAUCCCUCCGCUUUAUCAUUCUUGUCUUUGAAAUCUAAAUGCGUGACCACCUUACCCACGGAUCUGAGUAGUCUCCUUCCUCGACUCGAGAGACUUUGGCUUGAGUGCCCUAAUCUAGGUUGCCUCCCGAGCCUUCCCUCCAGUUUAUCAGAGUUGGAGUUGACCGGUUGCAAGUCAUCAUUUUCCCUAGGGAAUCUAUCUUAUUUGAAAGAACUAUCAUAUCUUUGCAUCAGUGAUUGCGCAAUCUCAGAGAUUCAAUGCCAUGAUCCUUUGGAGAACCUACAACGAUUGCGGCUUUGGGAUCUUCCACGGUUGGAAACUUUACCUUCUCUAGGUAAUUUCAACAAACUACGUUAUCUUUAUGUAUCCGAAUGUGGUAAUCUGGUUGAGAUUCAAGGCGAACUACCACAAUCUUUGGAAGUAUUGAAGAUUUGUAAAUGUGGAUCUUUAAAGGAGUUGCCUGAUCUGUCACCCUUGAAGGGACUGAAAACGGUUAGAAUGAAGCGUUGCGGGAAUUUAGACGUGGAGGCAAUUUCUACGCUUUGCUGUGAGAAGUCAGUCGAAUUUGGGGAAGAAGACAGUGAUGUUGAAUCCGAAUCUCAGCAAGAAGAAGACGAAUUUGAAUUUGAAUCUGAAUCUGAUGGAGAAGGCGACGAGUACGAGGAAGAAGACGACAAAUCUGAAUAUGAGGAAGAAGACGACGAAUGAGUGCACGAUCUUUUGAAAGCUUCUCGAUCCACGUCGACAAAUUGUUCCCUCGUGUUCAAGCUUUAAACGGAUUGAGGUAAGUUAAUUCAUCCGACAGCCAAUGUUUUCCCUUUUCAGCAACGUAAUUCUUUCUCGGAUAUGAACAGUGAAGUUUCACAUGCACUUUUUAAUUACCUUUUCACGAGUUGAUGACUGCAAUUCUGAUAAAGGCAUUGAAGUUAUGAUGCCUCCGUACAAUCAAAGGGUUGUUAAUUAUGUACAAAUAUCCGUUCUCUUUUCCUAGUUUGGUUUUGCGUUUUAGCUAUAUUUUUUCUUGGAUGGUUUCUCCUUGCUUUUAUGUUUCCCAGCUGGAGGUAUGCAUGUCGAUUGCUUUGUUUUUAUUUGAUAUGUAACAAAUCAUUAGAGAUCCUUGUCGAUUUGCUGCUUCACACAUUUUGAAGUUUAAUCCUUGCCUCGCAUUGGAGGUAACUUUGUUAUGCUGUAAACAAUUCGAUGGAAUGUGUGUUGGAAGGUCAUAUAACUAUGGUUCUCAUCCUGGAACUUUAUGGCAUAGUCAACUCAUCGAUGCAAUUGUGAAAUAGACACUCUGUAUUGAUAUGCUUAUGUUAAAGUUUAUUUUCCAAGAAAGGUGUGCUUCUUAGUGGGAUUUGCAAAUGUUAUGGAGAAGUUAUACAAUGAAGAAAGACGGAUUUCACUUGGGUAGUGGCAUCAACAGUUCGCACAGCAAACUUCCAUCUGUGACAGGAGAGACAGGAGCUACUUAGCUUCUCUGAUGCAUCAUAAAGCAUCUUAUAGUCAAAGGCUAAUAUCUCAGUAAUCCUGGUGCGAAGGACAUAUGAUAAGUCUCGCUGGGGUCAAAAAUCAUGUAAAUGGACUCUUGUGUGAUCUCCAUUAUCACCUACAUCUUUUAGAAAUGGUUAUGCCUAUGUGAUUAUCUGUAAUAGAAGCCCAUUCAUUCACCUCAAGUUGUACUAGAGGACUCUUAGGUUUUAAGUUUGACAAGAACUGUGAAGGGAGACAUCUCAAACAACCAGCUUUUUGCCGGUUUCUAGUGUUGCUGAGGUUUUAGAGUUUGAGAAACUUACAGAAAUGUUUCUGUGCAGGGAGCCGUGGCUAAUUAGGCAUCUGUACAAAUGAAGACUGAAUGAAGGAAAAUGAAGAUGACAUUUAAUGUCGCCUCAAUUCCCUUUCACAAUCUUGGGGCAGCAAACUGUGCAUCCAUCUGUCGAGAGACAGAAACUUGAAGAUCAGGGAGGGAAGUCGUUGCCUAAUGAUGAAAUUGUCAAAUCUGUUGAACUCGAUGUUAAGUUUCAGUUGAAUGUUUGGCAAUUUUUUCCAGAGCAGGGCAGGGGUAUUCGUUGUGAAAUUUGUAGCAUCAUAUAUAAUGUUUUUGGGGGGUAAAAGGGCUAUUUGAGCAAACCUGAUUGUUUAUUAAUCUUUUUUGUGGGGCCACAGAAUGAAUAUUGCACUUCAUCUGGAUGUGUGUUCUCUUCAUUGACAUGCAAUAGAACUUGCUUAUCAGUACACAAAUGUUACUUUGUGAGGAAACACUCGAAGAGCUUGUCUGGACAGGGUGAAAAAUUGUGUGUGCUUAAAGAAGUGUUCACGGUAGUGCCUGCCAAAAUCAGUUCAUGGACUUCUUGAUGUGAAAAUGGUGCUCAAGGUAGUUUUCCUCAUGAGUAUGAUAGGCACUCACAGCACAAGAAACAGGAAUUUUUGGAAUUCAUGAAAUGGGCGGUGAUGUCAAUUGAGUCUCACCAAAAUUAUCUACAAUAGUUUUCACAUGGUUUUGAGUACUAUUGCUUUCUUUCUAACGAUCAUGAUACUUCAGAGCUCAAGGGCAUUCAGUACUUAAAGAAUUAACUCAUCUUUUGUGUCCAUAAGUGGAAAUUGACUGAAAUAAGUAAUGUUGAUGAAAGGAUCAAGAUAAUUAAAGAUAGGCUAUCUAGUGAAAGAGUUCUCUUCCUUUUUGAUGAUGUUUACAAGAAGAAACUAUUGAAUGCGCUUGGGGUAAAUAUCUAUGAUAUUCAGGCAUUACUGAAUUCUUUGACACUAAGUAUCGAGUGCUGAUGGAUCUCGAGAUUCUUAGUGUUUCACAUUGUUUAUAACUGAAGAUGAUCUCUUCCAUUGGUCACUUGACAUCUCUAUUGAGGCUAUCUUUCAGAACCACCACAAUUACACGUCUUUGAAAGAAUGUAGAUGUAUAUAACUUCCCCCGUCAAUUGGAGCUCUUACAAGCCUUGAAUACUCGUCUUUGAAAGAAUGUAGAUGUAUACAGAGGCUUCCAGACUCGAGUGGCAAUCUACAAUGGCUACUUGAGUUCAAUAUCUCCUACACCUGCAUUAAAGAGCCACCUUCUCGAUGGGAAACAUGAAAAGUUUGAACGUUGUGAGGACGUAUAAUUGUUCCAUUGAAAAGGUACCUAGUGCCUUAUGGUUGCUGUAAAAGCUUGAAGAAAUAGAUGCAGCAAGUUGAAAGCUUGCAACUGGAAACUAUAAAUGACAUUUGCAGAUAUUCUUCUUUGAGAAUCUUGAAAUAGACACUGAUUUAAACAUGACGAUACCAAGGCUUUCUCAUCUGCUUACACAUUGAUUCAUCGAUGAUGACACAUUUCAGAUUUCUUAAACUUGACUAGUUUAAAUGAUUUGUAUUUGGCCAUUUGACAAGAUGUUUACCCGUUGACAAUUGUCCACUUGUGGAAAAUCCUAUGCCAUGGCGCAUUGUGAGAUUAAAUAAAGUGGAGUCUUUGACCUUGUCGUCUGCUGUUGUAACCACCUGAUCAACAGAUAUUGGUCAGCUUUCUCUACUCAAAAGACUAGAACUUUGGUGUCCUAAUUGGCUGCGCCUCCAAAGGCUUCCCUCAAGUUUGUCUUAUUUGUAUGUUGAAUCUUGCUGGUGGAGGAGAACAGCGAUGGAUCUCUCAAAUAUGAAUAGACUAUCAGAACUAAGAAUGGUAAAAUCUGCAAUAACAGAGAUUCAAGCCCUUGACUGUUUGAAAAAUCUAUGAUGACUCGGGUUUUCCCCUUUUAUUUCAACAUUUCCUUGUGAAGUUGUGAUUGAAAGCUUCAUCAAUCACCUCUCACCAUAUACAAACUGGGAAACGAUGGCGAACAGAGCUUGUCUAUCUUGCUCUGCUUCUGUCUUUACAUAUACACAUGACUUCCUAAGUUGGCAAGUGCUUCCUUACGUCUGAAAUGUUGUUAGAUACUUGUAACUAUGACUUAGUGAGCAUCAGAAGUGUUGCCGCUACUUAUUUAUUUUUGCAUUCUUUUUCCUCAUUCAUUGCACAGGAAGAUAAUGGUGAAACAGAAGUUAGCAAGAUGAAAAGGUGAGGAUUUGUGAAAUGCAAAAAUUGAAGAAGCAGAAGAUUCAGGAAAUAUCGGAUCAGCAAAAUGCCGCUAUGGACACUGAUAUGGUGCCUUUCCAUUCUAAAAAUGACUAUUCUUGCAUUAUUUCGAGUUCAUGUAUUGAUUAUGCCAGUAACAUUUUCUUCUUUUUGAAAUAAUUUUUCAAGAAUGAUAAGGGCAAAGGGCGGUUGAAGUAUCUUCUGCAGCAAACUGAGGUUUUUGCUCAUUUUGCCAGAGGAAACCAGUCUGCUUCACAGAAAAUCAAAGGAAGGUACCAUUACCAAUGACAAUUCUCUCUGUUUUUUGUGCAUCGCAGAUAUGAUCUCGUGUACAUAUGUUCCUUUUGACAACCUGCUGAACAAUGUCUACAUAGGUCCUAACUUUCUUCAUACUUCAUAGUUGCUUAAUUGGGACUGAAAGCUUUGUUUGAUCCUUGACGGGCCUUUUGCUAUAUAUUAAUAAUAACCUAAUGGUGGAAUUCUUUAGAGGAAAGGUGCCUAUGGUCCAGUGGUCUAACCCUUGCUACACUUCCAGUUACAUUUGGUGUUAAGGUUCCAUAUUCAAAGGGAAUUGGGAUUUGGUAACAUUUAUGCAAAUUAAUGAUGUUCAAUUGUAACCUUAUAUUGAUUGUUCUCUCCCAGUGGACAAAUAAACAUCUGCUCAUGCUUAAAAGCGAAGAAAACAUGUUUGUGAAGUUUAAGUCAUCAUUUGCCAGACCAUUUCUGUGUUCAGCAUUCAUGUUUGUUCAGUGACGUUUUUCUUUGCUUGACGUGUAG
This 19718-nucleotide long non-coding RNA is filed under the name Eucalyptus grandis. RNAcentral describes it as "long non-coding RNA (EGRA_LNC005159)". The record is from RNAcentral. Lineage: Eukaryota; Viridiplantae; Streptophyta; Magnoliopsida; Myrtales; Myrtaceae.